RNAcentral lists this ribosomal RNA (68 nucleotides) under Chalinga pratti. RNAcentral's name for it is "partial 5.8S ribosomal RNA". The record is from RNAcentral. Lineage: Eukaryota; Metazoa; Arthropoda; Insecta; Lepidoptera; Nymphalidae.
CAUCGACAUUUCGAACGCACAUUGCGGUCCGUGGAGAACCAUCCAGGACCACUCCUGUCUGAGGGCCG